Molecule: non-coding RNA, 268 nt
Organism: Fukomys damarensis (Damara mole-rat)
Lineage: Eukaryota; Metazoa; Chordata; Mammalia; Rodentia; Bathyergidae
Source: Rfam
GGAUGUGAGGGCGAUCUGGCUGAUCUGGCUGGCUAGGUGGGAGUCUCCUUCCUCCCUCACCACUCCAUGUGCGUCCCUCCUAAAGCUGCGCGCUCUGUUGAACAGGAUGAACACCCAUCCACAUACAGGAGGACUGCUUCCUGGGUCAAGGGUAUAUGAGUAGGUACGCGCCCCUGCCAGAACCUUCAAACAAGCUCUCAAGACUUCUGAAUUCUAGUGCAGCCUCUCCUAAUCAGUUUUCUCAUAUGUAACACACAGUAACAACUUC